RNAcentral lists this non-coding RNA (23 nucleotides) under Cricetulus griseus (Chinese hamster). Lineage: Eukaryota; Metazoa; Chordata; Mammalia; Rodentia; Cricetidae. The record is from RNAcentral.
GGAUUUGUAACGGCCAAGCAGUG